CACCAAGUGUAUGAAAGGUUUCUUUUUAUCUCAAAGAGGCAAGAGUUCCCUUUGGUAUCUUCUAUUGGACAUUAAUAAUGGUGGGGUUGGGGGAAGGAGAAGGUAACAGAUCUCUUUAACUUAAAGGCUGCAUAUCAUAAUGAAACUCCUACUAAUGGCACAUUUCCUUUCUACCCUGAUGAUAAAUAAAGCCAUGCCUUAGUGGUCAUUCUUUUUCUCCUCUCCACAUUACUUACUCCUGACCUAGUUAUUCAGAUUCCUUAGCUAGUGACUUCUAACGGUGUCAUGACGUAAGGGCAAUGACCUUAGAACUAUGAAUGAGGGUAGAGAUUGAUGCCACAUGGCUUUUGACAUACAUUGACUCAAGAAGCUGGGGAGGUCUGGGGUCAAGGUAUUAGCAGCAGCACUUGCCAGGUACGUUCCUCAACAUUCAUAGGACAUUUCUCUCUCAGGUCAAUUCCUGAUUUAUUCUGUCUGAAUCCCCUGAAUAACCUAUGGGAUCCUACAUUCUGGGCAGCUCAUGUGUGCUUGGAGAUGUGCUUUCAUGGUUUCGUACGCUAUGCUCUACACUGCUUUGAGUUGUAGAGAUGUUUCCUGUGACUCAUGUUCAUUUAGGAGGCAUUUUAGUUCUUGAUUUAGAAUAUUUCCCACCAUGAAGUACAUUGAGAAUGCUCUUUUUAUAAGUUUCCCCCUGUGGAAUAACAUAAAAACCUAGGGAAAAAAUCUGUGAAUAAAACAUCAGUGUGCUAACUAAUGUCCGUUCCACUUCACAAAGCCUUAAAAACAUUCAUCAAGCCACAGUUUGACAUUGCAGAAUGGUACCCCAAUGAGUCAAUGUCAUAGGAUGAAGUUCAACAAGGCAGUUAUUAUAGACAUGUGCUGGGUGGGCUGUGAACAUACAUCACUAGCAUCACUAGCAACAGAUGACCACCAUCAUCGACAGAGGAAGAAAACUCUGUGAGCCACAGGGCCUAGCGAAGCCUUCUGCUUUUUUGGCAAGAGUGCUGCCAGGGGAGAGCUGGAUUCGAUGCCAUCUUCAGUCUUAGGAUGAGUGCUUGGGCCCCUUCCUACAACUGCCUUUAUGCUUUGCAAAAAUGGUACACUUCGAAUUAUGGACUUCAUCGCAUGCUGAGAUGCAUAAUAAGCACCAGGGCCGCAAUCAGCUUAAAAAGAGAAUGCUGAACUGGGUGUGAAGUCUUGGGCUGAUUCUUGUCUGGGAUGGUGGGCAGGGAGCAGCACUCCCUGAGAAGAGGACCUUGCCAGACGGGAUUUGCAAAGUUGAGGUUAUCCUCAGGAAAUCAGAGCUACAGGUAGGCUGAAUCUAGUGCUGUCCGGCAGAAGAGUUUAGAGCUUCUCAGCAUCUUUUUGACAGUGAAAUGAUAAGGCAUACGAAGCAGUUUUAAAAAUCAGUUUGGUUUAACAAAAUAGCCAAAAAGAUAAUCAUGAAACAGAAGAUAAUCCAACAAGAUAAUUAGGAUCGGAAGAGAACACAAUCUCUAAUGGUAUAACUGUCUAAAAAGCUUGACCAUGAAAUAUCCUGAAUUUGUGUAAAUCAAAGUUACCAAUCCUGUUUUCACACUAGUGCUUCUAGCCUGGAGGCCUGGAUUCUAACUCUAAUUUACAGAAUGGUAUCUGAAAUGCUAUUACCAAGUUUUUCUUCUAUAGACAUUAAAAAACAACAACAACAACCCAACCCUGUUUUGUUCGUUUACUUAAAGUCAGCUCAUAGCAAUUUGCACUAUUUGAAGGGAGCAAUAUCACAGAUAAUAGGAAAUAGCAAAUAAUUUUUUAAAUGUUGUAUUUGAGUCUGUGGAAAAUGUUUUAGGUAUUUGCAUUUAAAUAGCCAUAUGUCUCAAACUCUAGAAAUUGCCAGCAUUUCAAACAAAAUAGUGUAUCCCUGUUGAAAGGAUGAAGUGGUAUGCUGUAUAUUUAUAAAACAGACUUUGUAACUCUGGACUGACUCAGUUUCACGUAGUAAGGCAGGAAUUAGUAGCUGUGUGAUCUAAAUUAUUCAACUUCUCUGUGACUUAGCUUCUUUGGUUAUGAAGUGGUGAUGAUACCAGGUUUUACUUUAUGGGCUUCCAAUCAGGAAUAGAUGGGACAUGAUGGGGGAUACACUUUACACAAAGCUUGGCAUGCAGAAGGUGACUCUAGCUCUGCAUGAUCAUACAUGGUAAAAUUCUCUUUCUUGAUUAUGGUAUUUUAUUUACCCCAUAAGUCUAGAUAUUAGGUUAUUAGGUUAGAGAAAACCUAGAUCUUGCUUUUAUUAACAGGAUUACACAGAGUAGUUUUACAAGGUCAAUAAUAAACUAUUAAGAAGGAGUUCCUGGGGCGCCUGGGUGGCCUGGUUGGCUAAGUGGCUGACUUCUGGUUUCUGCUCGGGUCAUGAUCCCAGGGUCCUAAGCUUGAGCCCCGUGUUGGGCUCUGCAUUCAGCCUGGAGUCUGCUUGGGAUUUUCUCCCUCUCCCUCUGUCUCUCCCCUGCACUCAUUCAAUCUCUCUCUCAAAACAAAGAAAUAAACAAAUAACUAAAAGGAAAGAGUUCCUAUACACAGAGGGAUAGAAAGCACCCUGGAGGAACAUUUUUCCAUCUGUUUGGGCUCAGACUCCCAUAGGCCAGCCAUCUGCAUAUUUCCCUCUGAUGACCAAGAGCUCAUGACUCCCCAAGGGAGUAGCCCCUUCCAACUUAGGACACUUCAUCAUUAGGAAACUUGUCAUUAUGUUGCUUCUCUAUAGUUUCCAUCAGGAGCCCUGGUUCAGUUGUCCAUGGCAAUUCAGAAUAAACUUAUUUCUAUUUUACAUGAAGAUAUUCCAGAUACUUGAAGAUGAGUAUUAUGCCUUUUCUGUGUCAGGUCUGCCAUUUUGCAGACCUUCAGCCAUUUCUCUCAUCUCACAGCCAUGUUUGUGGGACCUCCAUAGACCAGUGGAUAUAUUCUAGAGACUCAGGACUCAGAGUGUGAUGAGCAGACAAAAUGGGAAAUCUCAGGUGUACUCUGACCAAGACAAAAUAAAGCCAGGGAAGAGCUGUUAUCAAGAGGUUUGAGUCUGAGUGCCAGCUUUGCCUUUCCCCAGCUGACAGAGGCCUUGGGCAUGCCACUCAACCUUCAUGUGGUUUAUUUUCCGCAUAGGCAUUUGUGCAUGUGAAAAAUUCAUCUUCUUAGAUCUAAUCCAUCUUCUCAACCUUUUUGAUCCCAUUUCUUCAUCUAACGUAUUAUCUUUCCCUUCUGGCUUCAUUAAAUUUGUGAAUCUGAUCAGCAUACUAUUAUGUGCACAUCCGUGCCACUGAUUAAAAUGUAAAACAUGGCAAGUCCAACACAGGUCUAUAACUGAGUGUUCAAAACUUGUACUAGGUUGUCCAUGAUUUCAUUUAUUUAUUCAAGAAGUAUUUAUUAAGUGCUGACUAUGUGGUAAGCAUGAUGUUUUGUGCAGGGGAUGUGAGGAUGAACAAGAGAGUUCCCAUCGCUGUCCUCCUGAAACUAGAGUCUAGUGGACAAUCUGUUGGCAUUUUGGGGCACUGUGGUUUAAAAUGUUUUCAGUCUUUGUACCAGUCUUUGUUGGUAUAAAGAUCUAAUUACAGCAAUGUCUUGAUCACCCAGUUUGGAGCCCAAAGGAAAGAGUUUAAUAGCAAAAGAUAUUAAUAAUAUUUACUUACUAAUGUUUACUUAGUAAUUUUUUCUAAGUUGGUCUAGUGAAUUUUUAGAAGUCAUCUAUAAUGUGGCUAGCAUAACUGUGCAAAUUAUCUAUAUUAUUAUUUGGGCAAUGGAAUGUACCCUUAAAUUGAAACUGUGUGCUUUGAUAAGCAAUGCAUGGAUGUUGCACUUUGCUCUUGUGGUGCUGGUUCUCUUAUUGGGGUAACUGUGCUCACCAGGAGACAAGUGACAAUGUCUGGAGAGGAGACAUUUUUGGUGUGCACUGUGGGGAGGAAGGAAGCUACUGGCAUCUAACAGGUAGAAAUGCUGUUAAGUAUCUUACAACAUACAGGUCAGCUCCUUUCUUACCCAUCCAAUAAACAAUUAAGACUUAUCUGGCCCCAAAUGUCAGUGUGGAGGUUAUAAAGCCCUGCUCUAGGGGCGCCUGGGUGGCUCAGUGGGUUAAGUGUCUAACUCUUAAUUUCAGCUCAGGUCAUGGUCUCAGGGUCAUGAGGUAGAGCCCUGCAUCAGGCUCUGUGCUCAGUGGGGAAUCUGCUUGAGAUCCUCUCCCACUUCUGCCCCCCUACCCCCCUGCCAACACUCUCUGGGGCUCUCUCUCUCUCUUUCUCAUAAAUAAAUACAUCUUUAAACAAACAACCCUGCUGUAGGGCAGGUGGUGUAGCUGUAUGGUUAGAACUACAAACUUGGGAGCUGGAGAGUCCUGGGUUUGAAAUCCGCCUUCAGGGACCACUUAACUUUGUACCUAAGUGUGUGCAUAUGCAAAAUAAAGUUGGUAACAAUGGCAUCCUCAGCAAGAAGACUAAUGAGGUCAUGCUUGUGAAGCACUCAGUGUAGUGUCUGGUGCAAGGCAAGGACUAAAUAAAUGGUGGUUAUUAUAUUGUUUGGUUUGCUUUUUCUCCGAAUACUACACAUUUUAAUUGACACAAGCUAACUGCUGUAUAUAGAGAUGUAUCCAAAGACAUGGAUAGCACUUCUAUAUCAUGAAGAAAUCUGUUGUUUUCCUGUGUUUAAAGAAACAACCCUCAGCAAUUUGAUCUCCAAAUGUUCACCAGCCCGUGAAUCGGAUGAUAGCCUCUGUGCUUAGCUGCCUGAAGUACUCCACUGAGAGGCUGAACUGCCAAAUGGAUUAAUUUUUUAAUGAAUACUUGAGGAUUUUAUGUCCAAAUACCAGUAUGCCUCCCAUUUUUAGACAGACAUAAUGUUCCCAGUGUUAUGGAGAUGAGAGUCUGGGCGAGGGGUAAAGGUAGAUAAAACUCUAACACUUCAAAACUAUGACCUUAAUGAAAAUGUACACUCCAAUCGCUUGAUAUCUUUUGCUUUCAAUACAGUUUGUAGUGAUAUUAAUGACAGCACAAAAAUGUGGCUUAAUAUUUACUUAUAAGAUGACCAUCCUUGGGAGUUGUUGCCAGUUUGUGCAAAUUAUGGGCACAGAUUUAGAUUCUUAUUUAAUAUCCAAAAAAAGCUGACAAGACCUAUGGUCUCAAGUGGCUGGUUCUUUCAGUGAUGGGAUGAUGGUGCCUUUGCAAAUUCAUACUCCAGAUGAGGUUUUGGAUGCAGAGAAUAGAGGGAUUUGAAGAAGAGAGAGAUUGGAACUUGAAUUGUUUCUUGGAUUAGAGAAUGAAGACUAGGCAACUUUGGGCCUGUUUGUGGGUGGGCACAGAGAUGGCUGUAAUGUCCAGGUGGUUUCUCCUUGACUGGGAGAGGUGGCAAGUAGGUGAUACUGUGCACUCUACAUGUCUGUUCAAAACAUUUGCAUGGAAAAAGACCUUAGAUACAGAGAUUGAGUGUUUACUUCCAUCUGUUGUGAUACUUAUAUCAGAAUGUUAAUAAUCUUUCAAAUUAAAAAAACAUGUAUUUGGUUGCCUUUAGAAAUUACUUCUAAAUGGAAUUCCUUUAGCCAAUUUCUAAUUAAAUUGCUAAAUGAAAUUACCUCUGUUGGUUUAAAAACAAAUGAUGGUAAGUUCAUUGAUUAUUCAUGAUAUGUACAAAUUAGCCACAUAAUAGGACUUGGUAAGGGAUUCAAAGAUGUUGACUUUAUAAAAUAAAGUGAUAAAAAGAGUAUGAUAGGAAAUCUACACUACUCCUUCAGGAAAAUAUCCUGUAUAUGAUAGCUUUGACUACAGGUUUUUAUAAAUACAUCUAAAACAUGGAGGUAUGCUCAGGUGCACACUUAAAAAUGUCUAUUCAAACAAUUUAUAUCAAUUACUAUUUAAUUAAUAAACUGCAUUGUAAUUUGUUGGUGGAAAGUGGAAACCAAAGUUUGGUUCCGUGCAAAGAUAUCUGCUAGAGAACAAGAAAGCUGCGCUGCUCAUCUUUUCAUGCUAUUUUGACCACAACCUCGACUUGAAUCCUAGUAAACAACUCUCUCUGGGAACAAGGGGUAAUUGAAUCUUCAUGCUAAUUCUAUCCUGGUUUUCUCUUGACUACUAGCUCCCAAUUAUGCCAACAUAUUACACUAUGUACUGUUCUCUAGGAAAACACUAAGACCACGUUGUUCAUUCAACUAAGGUCAGACCUAAAAGGAAAAAAAAAAAAAAAAAAAAA
Molecule: long non-coding RNA, 6192 nt
Filed under: Canis lupus familiaris (dog)
Lineage: Eukaryota; Metazoa; Chordata; Mammalia; Carnivora; Canidae
Description: lncRNA (ENSCAFG00845000243.1)
Source: RNAcentral